GCAAGUCGAACGGUAGCACAGAGAGCUUGCUCUCGGGUGACGAGUGGCGGACGGGUGAGUAAUGUCUGGGAAACUGCCUGAUGGAGGGGGAUAACUACUGGAAACGGUAGCUAAUACCGCAUAACGUCGCAAGACCAAAGAGGGGGACCUUCGGGCCUCUUGCCCUGAGAGGUGCCCAGAUGGGAUUAGCUAGUAGGUGGGGUAAAGGCUCACCUAGGCGACGAUCCCUAGCUGGUCUGAGAGGAUGACC
RNAcentral lists this ribosomal RNA (250 nucleotides) under uncultured bacterium. RNAcentral's name for it is "partial 16S ribosomal RNA". It matches the Rfam family "Bacterial small subunit ribosomal RNA", at positions 57 to 305 of the family's 1533-position model. The record is from RNAcentral.